GACGAACGCUGGCGGCGUGCUUAACACAUGCCAGUCGAACGGAAAGGCCCUGCUUUUGUGGGGUGCUCGAGUGGCGAACGGGUGAGUAACACGUGAGUAACCUGCCCUUGACUUUGGGAUAACUUCAGGAAACUGGGGCUAAUACCGGAUAGGAGCUCCUGCUGCAUGGUGGGGGUUGGAAAGUUUCGGCGGUUGGGGAUGGACUCGCGGCUUAUCAGCCUGUUGGUGGGGUAGUGGCUUACCAAGGCUUUGACGGGUAGCCGGCCUGAGAGGGUGACCGGCCACAUUGGGACUGAGAUACGGCCCAGACUCCUACGGGAGGCAGCAGUGGGGAAUAUUGCACAAUGGGCGGAAGCCUGAUGCAGCAACGCCGCGUGCGGGAUGACGGCCUUCGGGUUGUAAACCGCUUUCGCCUGUGACGAAGCGUGAGUGACGGUAAUGGGUAAAGAAGCACCGGCUAACUACGUG
This 468-nucleotide ribosomal RNA is filed under the name uncultured bacterium. RNAcentral describes it as "partial 16S ribosomal RNA". It matches the Rfam family "Bacterial small subunit ribosomal RNA", at positions 28 to 507 of the family's 1533-position model. The record is from RNAcentral.